RNAcentral lists this long non-coding RNA (1358 nucleotides) under Dermacentor andersoni. RNAcentral's name for it is "uncharacterized LOC126542098". Lineage: Eukaryota; Metazoa; Arthropoda; Arachnida; Ixodida; Ixodidae. The record is from RNAcentral.
CACUGCACUGCCCUUGCUCAAAAAUUUUGCAGCAGGAUCCCAUUUUAUGGCGGCGGUUCUUUCAAAAUAACGCUUAGCACUGUUACUUGCCUAAUUUUUCAAGAAAAGAAAUUGCGAAUUUGCCUUCGUCUAGGUUGUCCACAUCGAAUGCCCCAGCAAUUAAAGGAAACCAAUCUCGAAGGCCAUGCUUUGCCGUGCUGCGAAGUUGAACGGCGGAACUGACAUAGCUGCCAUUUUUUAAACAUCGCCCACUGCGAGGGGCGCAGACGAAGGCAAUUUCGCAUAUUUUUUUUCUUGACUAUCAAGUCAGUCAAGCAACGGUGCAAAGUUAGGUGACGCCAACUCUCCUCUGAUUCAUGUCUUGCCUAGGUGGCGCUGCUAUCCGUAGCGCGAUGAAGAACGAGUGAGGAAUAUGAAAGAAAGUUAAUGGGCUGGGAGAGUGUUGAGGUGUCUGUACAGGAAAAACAUUGAUUCACAAUGGAGGAAAAGAACUAUGAAGCUUACAAGCAAGUAUGCGGCCUGUAGGGUGAGCAACACAGCAACAAAGAACGUCAAGCGGAAAGUCAAAGAGGCUGAAAUAAUCUCAUGAGUGGCGGACAUGGAAAAAAAAAAGAACCUGCCAUGAGGAAAAAAACUUAAGAGGAAAAAAACAAAAUCAGGAAAGAAACAAUUUAUGAUAACUCAAAGGGAAGCUCAAUACUUUUCGAAGUGGGAUCAGGAUGCCUUAGAACACGCACCUACAAAGCGAGAUAUAAUAAGGAAGAAGAAGCGUGUGCUUGGGCUGCGGUAAAGCUAGGGAAACGAUGGAAGCAUGUUUUAUUAAAAUGUGAGAAAAUCUGCCCAGCGGUCGAUUUAGGCACCAUUGGCCUCCUUGAAACCCUUGAGUUCAGCGAGAACAGGGGAGAAGUAAGCAUGUCCGCAACAGACAUUAGUAAGAGGCGAUUGGAAAAUUGGUGGAAGCAGGGAAACGACAAAAAACGGAGUCGUACAAAAGCAAAGUUCACAAUAGGGGGUAUGAAAAUUAGGUUGUGGGAGUUCAUCGUGUUUUUUUUUUUUUUUUUUUUUAACCUGGGUAGGACAAUAGACAGCAUAAUAGCAAGAGCUUAGUGGCGCAAACCACUGCCCCGUUCCAAAGGGGACGCUCAUAACAUCCAUCCAUCCUCGAUGCGCCCACCGCGCUGGGCCGUGCUGGCCGCGGGCAGCCUUUAGCAAUUUCUCUGCGACUUGUGUUGAGACGUGUAUUGUGUAUAAGACGUGUACGAGUAUUCGGACGCGCUUCCAUGCCGAUAAGUUAAAAACACAAGUGAGGACUUGAUGCCCAUAGUGAAUAAAGUUCUACAUGCAGUUUCAGCUCUUGA